This 253-nucleotide ribosomal RNA is filed under the name uncultured bacterium. Its description in RNAcentral is "partial 16S ribosomal RNA". It matches the Rfam family "Bacterial small subunit ribosomal RNA", at positions 524 to 777 of the family's 1533-position model. The record is from RNAcentral.
UACGUAGGGUGCGAGCGUUGUCCGGAAUUAUUGGGCGUAAAGAGCUCGUAGGCGGUUUGUUGCGUCUAUCGUGAAAACCUGCAGCUUAACUGUGGGCUUGCGGUGGAUACGGGCAGACUUGAGUCGGUAGGGGAGACUGGAAUUCCCGGUGUAGUGGUGGAAUGCGUAGAUAUCGGGAAGAACACCAGUGGCGAAGGCGGUUACCUGGAGCUUUGCUGACGCUGAUGCGCGAAAGCGUGGGGAGCGAGUCCGG